Molecule: ribosomal RNA, 436 nt
Filed under: uncultured bacterium
Lineage: Bacteria
Description: bacterial SSU rRNA
Rfam family: Bacterial small subunit ribosomal RNA
Source: RNAcentral
UGGAGGCAGCAGUGGGGAAUCUUGCGCAAUGGGGGAAACCCUGACGCAGCGACGCCGCGUGCGGGAUGAAGGUCUUCGGAUUGUAAACCGCUUUUCUCGGGGACGAUAAUGACGGUACCCGAGGAAUAAGCCCCGGCUAACUCCGUGCCAGCAGCCGCGGUAAGACGGAGGGGGCAAGCGUUGUCCGGAAUUACUGGGCGUAAAGCGCUCGUAGGCGGUCGCAUACGGCGGUGGUGAAAGCUCCCGGCUCAACUGGGAGAGGCCCGCCGCAACGGUGCGACUCGAGGGUGGUAGAGGCAGAUGGAAUUCCUGGUGUAGCGGUGAAAUGCGUAGAGAUCAGGAGGAACACCAAUGGCGAAGGCAGUCUGCUGGGCCACACCUGACGCUGAGGAGCGAAAGCCAGGGGAGCGAACGGGAUUAGAAACCCUAGUAGUCC